GAUGAACGCUGGCGGCGUGCCUAAUACAUGCAAGUCGAGCGAACAGAUGAGGAGCUUGCUCCUCUGACGUUAGCGGCGGACGGGUGAGUAACACGUGGAUACCCUACCUAUCAGACUGGGAUAACUUCGGGACACCGGAGCUAAUACCGUAUAAUAUCUUGAACCGCAUGGUUCAAUAGUGAAAGUCGGUUUUGCUGUCACUUCUAGAUGGAUCCGCGCCGCAUUAGCUAGUUGGUAAGGUAACGGCUUACCAAGGCAACGAUGCGUAGCCGACCUGAGAGGGUGAUCGGCCACACGGGAGCUGGGACACGGUCCAGACUCCUACGGGAGGCAGCAGUAGGGAAUCUUCCGCAAUGGGCGAAAGCCUGACGGAGCAACGCCGCGUGAGUGAUGAAGGUCUUCGGAUCGUAAAACUCUGUUAUGAGGGAAGAACAAAUGUGUAAGUAACUAUGCACGUAUUGACGGUACCUAAUCAGAAAGCCACGGCUAACUACGUG
RNAcentral lists this ribosomal RNA (497 nucleotides) under uncultured bacterium. RNAcentral's name for it is "partial 16S ribosomal RNA". It matches the Rfam family "Bacterial small subunit ribosomal RNA", at positions 28 to 507 of the family's 1533-position model. The record is from RNAcentral.